AAUGGACGAAAGUCUGACGCAGCAACGCCGCGUGAUCGAUGAAGCUUCUAGGAGUGUAAAGAUCUGUCGUAAGGGAAGAAAACCUGGAUGUAAAUAAUGUUCAGAUUUGACGGUACCUUUCAAGAAAGCACCGGCUAACUUCGUGCCAGCAGCCGCGGUAAUACGAGGGGUGCUAGCGUUGUCCGGAAUAACUGGGCGUAAAGGGUCCGUAGGCGUUUUAUUAAGUUGAUUGUUAAAUCCACCGGCUUAACCGGUGACCUGCAAUCAAAACUGAUAAAAUAGAAUAUGUGAGAGGAAUGUGGAAUUCCUGGUGUAGCGGUGACAUGCGUAGAUACCAGGAGGAACACCGAUGGCGAAGGCAGCAUUCUGGCACAAUAUUGACGCUGAGGGACGAAAGCGUGGGGAGCGAACAGGAUU
RNAcentral lists this ribosomal RNA (417 nucleotides) under uncultured Deferribacteraceae bacterium. RNAcentral describes it as "bacterial SSU rRNA". It matches the Rfam family "Bacterial small subunit ribosomal RNA", at positions 370 to 779 of the family's 1533-position model. Lineage: Bacteria; Pseudomonadati; Deferribacterota; Deferribacteres; Deferribacterales; Deferribacteraceae. The record is from RNAcentral.